RNAcentral lists this ribosomal RNA (401 nucleotides) under Bacillus paranthracis. Its description in RNAcentral is "partial 23S ribosomal RNA". It matches the Rfam family "Bacterial large subunit ribosomal RNA", at positions 1948 to 2348 of the family's 2925-position model. Lineage: Bacteria; Bacillati; Bacillota; Bacilli; Caryophanales; Bacillaceae. The record is from RNAcentral.
GUCCUAAGGUAGCGAAAUUCCUUGUCGGGUAAGUUCCGACCCGCACGAAAGGUGUAACGAUUUGGGCACUGUCUCAACCAGAGACUCGGUGAAAUUAUAGUACCUGUGAAGAUGCAGGUUACCCGCGACAGGACGGAAAGACCCCGUGGAGCUUUACUGUAGCCUGAUAUUGAAUUUUGGUACAGUUUGUACAGGAUAGGCGGGAGCCUUUGAAACCGGGGCGCUAGCUUCGGUGGAGGCGCUGGUGGGAUACCGCCCUGACUGUAUUGAAAUUCUAACCUACGGGUCUUAUCGACCCGGGAGACAGUGUCAGGUGGGCAGUUUGACUGGGGCGGUCGCCUCCUAAAGUGUAAAGGAGGCGCCCAAAGGUUCCCUCAGAAUGGUUGGAAAUCAUUCGUAGA